UACGUAGGUGGCGAGCGUUGUCCGGAUUUACUGGGCGUAAAGGGAGCGUAGGCGGACUUUUAAGUGAGAUGUGAAAUACUCGGGCUCAACUUGAGUGCUGCAUUUCAAACUGGAAGUCUAGAGUGCAGGAGAGGAGAAUGGAAUUCCUAGUGUAGCGGUGAGAUGCGUAGAGAUUAGGAAGAACACCAGUGGCGAAGGCGAUUCUCUGGACUGUAACUGACGCUGAGGCUCGAAAGCAUGGGUAGCGAACAGG
RNAcentral lists this ribosomal RNA (253 nucleotides) under uncultured bacterium. Its description in RNAcentral is "partial 16S ribosomal RNA". It matches the Rfam family "Bacterial small subunit ribosomal RNA", at positions 524 to 776 of the family's 1533-position model. The record is from RNAcentral.